GAUGCUCCAAAAUUCAGCAGCGGUCACAAUCAGGUCUUGCUCGGUUUUAUAGUUUCAUUGUCAUGUUCUGUUUAGUUUCUGUGUCAUGGUUUUAAUUGUCUCUGUUCUCAUUCAUUUGUUACCACAUUUUCUCGUUAGUUACACAUCUGUUAAUUACCUCUUUCGGUGUAUUAAAGCCCUCUCUCUACUCAGAUCAAUGUUUUGCAUUAAUGUCACUGUUUAAGGUGUAUGUAUAGUUUUGCUUUGUCUUUUCAUUAAAGUCUUCAUGGAUCUCAAUCAUUCUGUGUCACGCUCUCUGCUUUGGAUUAAUCUACAAGCUGUUACGUGACAAUGGCGUUCCAAGAGUGAUGAUAAAUACUGUAACAGCACUCUUUAUGUCACUUCUCUUGUCUGUGUUUGUGAGCGGUGUGGAACCAGAAUGAAAUAGUAAUGCACCGAAAUUAAAAUUCUGGUUGGUACCAAGGAGCUCAUAAUUAUGAUGUAUAAUAAAACACUAAAAACUAAAACUUGUCUAUUUAAAUUUAAAUAUAGGUAUCACAAUAUUAGAAUGUGCAGUAUGAAAAUUGGUUAUUCAUUUUCUAAAGAUUACAUUUCACAGUGUUUUAAAGAUUCACUUUAAGUGAGCUAAAUGAUGGCCAAGGUGAUCUAAAUGUUAAAAUAGGGAAAAUGUGCAGCACAAUUACAUACUGAGCAGACAUAUAGUUUAUACAGAAUAUAUACAAUAUCAACCAAUAUUGAAUGGAUAUGGUAAUUUAUGGCAAAAUUCAUAAAUUCGACUUCAAACAACUGAAUCAAUAUGUGUCCAACUGUCCUGCUGCUUUACUGCAGUGAAUUCCACUGUAAAAAAUAAAAUAAAAAAUCCACUGUAAAAGGACUGCGCAAAAUGAAAGUCUCUAGUGCUUUAACGACCCAAUUAAUCUACUAAAUAUAGUGCAGAAUAUAAUGUAUAUUGGGGCAAAUAUUUACUGAUUACAUAGUGUACUGAUUCAGUGACAUUGUGAUAACUAUAGUGUUUAACACAAUUCUGUAUUUUCAGCAAAGCAUAAUUAUAAGCAUCUCCAUGCUAAUUUUGACUGCAAAAUGACACAAAGAUGCUGACAAUGUUUUAUAAAAGCAAAUUCAGAAAUUUGAAGCCACAAAAAUCACACACACACAGACACACACAAAAAAAAGUCACAAAAAAAG
Molecule: long non-coding RNA, 1185 nt
Organism: Cyprinus carpio carpio
Lineage: Eukaryota; Metazoa; Chordata; Actinopteri; Cypriniformes; Cyprinidae
Source: Ensembl